Molecule: ribosomal RNA, 1017 nt
Filed under: Triticum aestivum (bread wheat)
Lineage: Eukaryota; Viridiplantae; Streptophyta; Magnoliopsida; Poales; Poaceae
Description: partial small subunit ribosomal RNA
Source: RNAcentral
AUCGAUAUUGGAGAAAGCAACAAGAAUGGCAAGGGAAGCACUAGAGCUGGGACAUCAGGACCUAGGGCACCAAAGACACAUUGGCCUCAAGCUUUAUCAGAGUUCGUACUUGAUUGGUACAUUGAGAAGAAGAUGGAGCUGCCACCAAAGGCGGUGUUUAAGAAGCUGCAUCACAAUGCAUGUACAAAAGCAGUAAAUGAGAAGUAUGUUAGUACCUACACUUUUGAACAAGUUCAUCGUCACUUUAGACAUCAUAAAGAGACUUGGGCACUUGUAGCUCGCCAUAUGAAUGCUAGUGGUAAUGGCUGGGAUAAUCUGACAAAAAUGGUUACUCUCUCCAAAACUGCUUUGGAUGAACGGUCGGUAAAUGACCGUGGAAUUCUUACAAAGCCAAUCCAGUUUUUUGACAAGUUACAGGAAAUGUUUAGUGGUUCCUCUGCUGAUGGAGCAUUUAUGCAUGAUGCUUCCACCGCUGCUGAUUCUGAUAAUGAAGAUGGUGAACAACAAAAUAUGUAUGAUAUGUCUGGCUACGCUGAUACAAAGGAUCAUCAAGGCGAAGACUCUGAUAAACUCGAGUCAGAUAGUGAUGGUUGUUAGGUUGUGGCAGCAGUCGCCGCAACUUCAAGAUCUAAUGUUAGUGGUCUGAAGCCUAACAAGAAGAUACUCAAGAAGGCUGGGAAUAAAAAGACAGUGCCUCCAUCACAAUCAAACAAGUCAAAGACUAAAAAGUCAGCGGCCACCGCGCGUGAUGACAAUGAUAUUGAUGCCGCAAUUACUAGUACUCUAGUGGGAAUCAAGGAAAGCCUUACACAGCCAAUACAAACUGUAGCCCCACCAGAUCCAAAUGUUCCUCUUUGGAACAUGAUAAAUAAUAUUGCACUAACACCUCAAGAUAGGAUGGCAGUAGGGAUCACUACAAAAAAAUACACUUCCGUGAUGAUACGUGUUUGUCACAGUAGGUCACGUUUUUUGUCAUGCAUGUACAUCCAUGACAAUUUUAUGACAGAAUCAAGAUAG